Molecule: small RNA, 171 nt
Filed under: Paenibacillus sp.
Lineage: Bacteria; Bacillati; Bacillota; Bacilli; Caryophanales; Paenibacillaceae
Also listed under: 1 other name
Description: c-di-AMP sequence
Rfam family: c-di-AMP riboswitch aptamer (ydaO/yuaA leader)
About the family: This family represents a conserved RNA structure found upstream of the ydaO and yuaA genes in Bacillus subtilis and related genes in other bacteria. The ydaO/yuaA element is thought to act as a genetic "off" switch for the ydaO and yuaA genes in its native state.
Source: RNAcentral
AAUUCCAUAUGGCCGAGUCUCAUAAUAGAUGAGAGCGGGGGAACCAUUUCUCUUGGGGUGAAUUUUACAGAAUCAGGCAGGCAUGCAGUCUUGUCAUGCUAUUCUGUGAAUAGGGCGUCUUGACGUGCCCGAAUCCGUCAGCUAACCUCGUAGGCAUGAUCGUCAGGAUAC